RNAcentral lists this ribosomal RNA (671 nucleotides) under uncultured bacterium. RNAcentral describes it as "bacterial SSU rRNA". It matches the Rfam family "Bacterial small subunit ribosomal RNA", at positions 9 to 684 of the family's 1533-position model. The record is from RNAcentral.
GAGUUUGAUCAUGGCUCAGGAUGAACGCUAGCGGCAGGCUCAACACAUGCAAGUCGAGGGGUAGUAUAGCAAUAUAUGAGACCGGCGCACGGGUGCGUAACGCGUAUGCAAUCUACCUUUUACAGGGGAAUAGCCCAGAGAAAUUUGGAUUAAUGCCCCAUGGUAUAAUUGAUUGGCAUCAAUUAAUUAUUAAAGUUCCAACGGUAAAAGAUGAGCAUGCGUCCCAUUAGCUAGUUGGUAUGGUAACGGCAUACCAAGGCGAUGAUGGGUAGGGGUCCUGAGAGGGAGAUCCCCCACACUGGUACUGAGACACGGACCAGACUCCUACGGGAGGCAGCAGUGAGGAAUAUUGGACAAUGGGCGCAAGCCUGAUCCAGCCAUGCCGCGUGCAGGAAGAAGCAUCUAUGGUGUGUAAACUGCUUUUAUACAGGAAGAAACACUCCCUCGUGAGGGAGCUUGACGGUACUGUAAGAAUAAGGACCGGCUAACUCCGUGCCAGCAGCCGCGGUAAUACGGAGGGUCCAAGCGUUAUCCGGAAUCAUUGGGUUUAAAGGGUCCGUAGGCGGUUUAAUAAGUCAGUGGUGAAAGCCCAUCGCUCAACGAUGGAACGGCCAUUGAUACUGUUAGACUUGAAUUAUUAGGAAGUACUAGAAUAUGUAGUGUACCGGUGA